GGCCCUUUUAACUCAGUGGUAG
This 22-nucleotide transfer RNA is filed under the name Fagus sylvatica (European beech). Its description in RNAcentral is "partial tRNA-Thr". Lineage: Eukaryota; Viridiplantae; Streptophyta; Magnoliopsida; Fagales; Fagaceae. The record is from RNAcentral.